GAAGCCUGACGGAGCAAUACCGCGUGAGGGAGGAAGGCUCUUGGGUUGUAAACCUCUUUUCUCAGGGAAGAAAAAAAUGACGGUACCUGAGGAAUAAGCAUCGGCUAACUCCGUGCCAGCAGCCGCGGUAAUACGGAGGAUGCAAGCGUUAUCCGGAAUGAUUGGGCGUAAAGGGUCUGCAGGUGGCUAUGUAAGUCUGCUGUUAAAGAAUGAGGCCUAACCUCAUCAGAGCGGUGGAAACUACACAGCUAGAGUGCGUUCGGGGUAGAGGGAAUUCCUGGUGUAGCGGUGAAAUGCGUAGAUAUCGGGAAGAACACCAGUGGCGAAAGCGCUCUACUAGUCCGCAACUGACACUGAGGGACGAAAGCUAGGGGAGCGAAUGGGAUUAGAUACCCCAGUAGUCCUAGCCGUAAACGAUGGAUACUAGGCGUGGCUUGUAUCGACCCGAGCCGUGCCGGAGCUAACGCGUUAAGUAUCCCGCCUGGGGAGUACGCACGCAAGUGUGAAACUCAAAGGAAUUGACGGGGGCCCGCACAAGCGGUGGAGUAUGUGGUUUAAUUCGAUGCAACGCGAAGAACCUUACCAAGACUUGACAUGUCGCGAAUCCUGCCGAAAGGUGGGAGUGCCUUCGGGAGCGCGAACACAGGUGGUGCAUGGCUGACGUCAGCUCGUGUCGUGAGAUGUUGGGUUAAGUCCCGCAACGAGCGCAACCCUCGUUUUUAGUUGCCAGCAUGAAGAUGGGCACUCUAGAGAGACUGCCGGUGACAAACCGGAGGAAGGUGGGGGAUGACGUCAAGUCAGCAUGCCCCUUACGUCUUGGGCUACACACGUACUACAAUGCUACGGACAAAGGGCAGCGACGCAGCGAUGUGAAGCAAAUCUCAUAAACCGUAGCUCAGUUCAGAUCGCAGGCUGCAACUCGCCUGCGUGAAGUAGGAAUCGCUAGUAAUUGCAGGUCAGCAUACUGCAGUGAAUCGU
RNAcentral lists this ribosomal RNA (978 nucleotides) under uncultured cyanobacterium. Its description in RNAcentral is "bacterial SSU rRNA". It matches the Rfam family "Bacterial small subunit ribosomal RNA", at positions 378 to 1371 of the family's 1533-position model. Lineage: Bacteria; Bacillati; Cyanobacteriota. The record is from RNAcentral.